UACAGAGGGUGCGAGCGGUAAUCGGAAUUACUGGGCGUAAAGCGUGCGUAGACGGUUAUUUAAGUCGGGUGUGAAAGCCCCGGGCUCAACCUGGGAAUUGCAUUCGAGACUGAAUAGCUAGGGUACGGUAGAGGGAAGCGGAAUUUCCGGUGUAGCGGUGAAAUGCGUAGAUAUCGGAAGGAACAUCAGUGGCGAAAGCGGCUUCCUGGACCAGUACCGACGUUCAGGCACGAAAGCGUGGGGAGCAAACAGG
RNAcentral lists this ribosomal RNA (253 nucleotides) under uncultured bacterium. RNAcentral describes it as "partial 16S ribosomal RNA". It matches the Rfam family "Bacterial small subunit ribosomal RNA", at positions 524 to 776 of the family's 1533-position model. The record is from RNAcentral.